UUUCAUCUGCGCGCUCCUCAUCGGCGCGUUCUGAUUUCGCAACGGCUGCAGGUGCUCAUGCGUCUGCAGCCGUUCAUCGGCCGGUGC
This 87-nucleotide small RNA is filed under the name Sinorhizobium meliloti 2011. Its description in RNAcentral is "putative ncRNA". The record is from RNAcentral. Lineage: Bacteria; Pseudomonadati; Pseudomonadota; Alphaproteobacteria; Hyphomicrobiales; Rhizobiaceae.